CUGAAACCGUGUACGUACAAGCAGUGGGAGCACGCUUAGGCGUGUGACUGCGUACCUUUUGUAUAAUGGGUCAGCGACUUAUAUUCUGUAGCAAGGUUAACCGAAUAGGGGAGCCGAAGGGAAACCGAGUCUUAACUGGGCGUUAAGUUGCAGGGUAUAGACCCGAAACCCGGUGAUCUAGCCAUGGGCAGGUUGAAGGUUGGGUAACACUAACUGGAGGACCGAACCGACUAAUGUUGAAAAAUUAGCGGAUGACUUGUGGCUGGGGGUGAAAGGCCAAUCAAACCGGGAGAUAGCUGGUUCUCCCCGAAAGCUAUUUAGGUAGCGCCUCGUGAAUUCAUCUCCGGGGGUAGAGCACUGUUUCGGCAAGGGGGUCAUCCCGACUUACCAACCCGAUGCAAACUGCGAAUACCGGAGAAUGUUAUCACGGGAGACAC
RNAcentral lists this ribosomal RNA (437 nucleotides) under Shigella flexneri. RNAcentral's name for it is "partial 23S ribosomal RNA". It matches the Rfam family "Bacterial large subunit ribosomal RNA", at positions 550 to 987 of the family's 2925-position model. The record is from RNAcentral. Lineage: Bacteria; Pseudomonadati; Pseudomonadota; Gammaproteobacteria; Enterobacterales; Enterobacteriaceae.